AGUGAACGCUGGCGGUAUGCCUAACACAUGCAAGUCGAACGGCAGCACAGUAAGAGCUUGCUCUUAUGGGUGGCGAGUGGCGGACGGGUGAGGUAUACAUCGGAAUCUACUUUUUCGUGGGGGAUAACGUAGGGAAACUUACUCUAAUACCGCAUACGACCUACGGGUGAAAGCAUGGGAUCUUCUGACCUUGCGCGAUUGAAUGAGCCGAUGUCGGAUUAGCUAGUUGGCUGGUUAAAGGCCCACCAAGGCGACGAUCCGUAGCUGGUAUGAGAGGAUGAUCAGCCACACUGGAACUGAGACACGGUCCAGACUCCUACGGGAGGCAGCAGUGGGGAAUAUUGGACAAUGGGGGCAAGCCUGAUACAGCCAUACGGCGUGGGUGAAGAAGGCCUUCGGGUUGUAAAGCCCUUUUGUUGGGAAAGAAAAGCAGCAGGUUAAUACGCCGCUGUUCUGACGGUACCCAAAGAAUAAGCACCGGCUAACUUCGUG
Molecule: ribosomal RNA, 492 nt
Filed under: uncultured bacterium
Lineage: Bacteria
Description: partial 16S ribosomal RNA
Rfam family: Bacterial small subunit ribosomal RNA
Source: RNAcentral